RNAcentral lists this ribosomal RNA (746 nucleotides) under uncultured bacterium. RNAcentral describes it as "bacterial SSU rRNA". It matches the Rfam family "Bacterial small subunit ribosomal RNA", at positions 636 to 1382 of the family's 1533-position model. The record is from RNAcentral.
UNUGACUUGAGUGCAGAAGGGGAGAGUGGAAUUCCAUGUGUAGCGGUGAAAUGCGUAGAUAUAUGGAGGAACACCAGUGGCGAAAGCGGCUCUCUGGUCUGUCACUGACGCUGAGGCUCGAAAGCGUGGGUAGCGAACAGGAUUAGAUACCCUGGUAGUNCACGCCGUAAACGAUGAGUGCUAGGUGUUAGGCCCUUUCCGGGGCUUAGUGCCGGAGCUAACGCAAUAAGCACUCCGCCAGGGGAGUACGACCGCAAGGUUGAAACUCAAAGGAAUUGACGGGGGCCCGCACAAGCGGUGGAGCAUGUGGUUUAAUUCGAAGCAACGCGAAGAACCUUACCAGGUCUUGACAUCCCGAUGCUAUUCUUAGAGAUAGGAAGUUACUUCGGUACAUCGGAGACAGGUGGUGCAUGGUUGUCGUCAGCUCGUGUCGUGAGAUGUUGGGUUNNNNNNNNCAACGAGCGCAACCCUUAUUGUUAGUUGCCAUCAUUAAGUUGGGCACUCUAGCGAGACUGCCGGUAAUAAACCGGAGGAAGGUGGGGAUGACGUCAAAUCAUCAUGCCCCUUAUGACCUGGGCUACACACGUGCUACAAUGGUCGGUACAACGAGUUGCGAGCCGGUGACGGCAAGCUAAUCUCUGAAAGCCGAUCUCAGUUCGGAUUGGAGGCUGCAACUCGCCUCCAUGAAGUCGGAAUCGCUAGUAAUCGCGGAUCAGCACGCCGCGGUGAAUACGUUCCCGGGCCUU